This 1372-nucleotide ribosomal RNA is filed under the name uncultured bacterium. Its description in RNAcentral is "bacterial SSU rRNA". It matches the Rfam family "Bacterial small subunit ribosomal RNA", at positions 28 to 1381 of the family's 1533-position model. The record is from RNAcentral.
GAUGAACGCUGGCGGCGUGCCUAAUACAUGCAAGUCGAGCGAACGGACGAGAAGCUUGCUUCUCUGAUGUUAGCGGCGGACGGGUGAGUAACACGUGGAUAACCUACCUAUAAGACUGGGAUAACUUCGGGAAACCGGAGCUAAUACCGGAUAAUAUUUUGAACCGCAUGGUUCAAAAGUGAAAGACGGUCUUGCUGUCACUUAUAGAUGGAUCCGCGCUGCAUUAGCUAGUUGGUAAGGUAACGGCUUACCAAGGCAACGAUGCAUAGCCGACCUGAGAGGGUGAUCGGCCACACUGGAACUGAGACACGGUCCAGACUCCUACGGGAGGCAGCAGUAGGGAAUCUUCCGCAAUGGGCGAAAGCCUGACGGAGCAACGCCGCGUGAGUGAUGAAGGUCUUCGGAUCGUAAAACUCUGUUAUUAGGGAAGAACAUAUGUGUAAGUAACUGUGCACAUCUUGACGGUACCUAAUCAGAAAGCCACGGCUAACUACGUGCCAGCAGCCGCGGUAAUACGUAGGUGGCAAGCGUUAUCCGGAAUUAUUGGGCGUAAAGCGCGCGUAGGCGGUUUUUUAAGUCUGAUGUGAAAGCCCACGGCUCAACCGUGGAGGGUCAUUGGAAACUGGAAAACUUGAGUGCAGAAGAGGAAAGUGGAAUUCCAUGUGUAGCGGUGAAAUGCGCAGAGAUAUGGAGGAACACCAGUGGCGAAGGCGACUUUCUGGUCUGUAACUGACGCUGAUGUGCGAAAGCGUGGGGAUCAAACAGGAUUAGAUACCCUGGUAGUCCACGCCGUAAACGAUGAGUGCUAAGUGUUAGGGGGUUUCCGCCCCUUAGUGCUGUAGCUAACGCAUUAAGCACUCCGCCUGGGGAGUACAACCGCAAGGUUGAAACUCAAAGGAAUUGACGGGGACCCGCACAAGCGGUGGAGCAUGUGGUUUAAUUCGAAGCAACGCGAAGAACCUUACCAAAUCUUGACAUCCUUUGACAACUCUAGAGAUAGAGCCUUCCCCUUCGGGGGACAAAGUGACAGGUGGUGCAUGGUUGUCGUCAGCUCGUGUCGUGAGAUGUUGGGUUAAGUCCCGCAACGAGCGCAACCCUUAAGCUUAGUUGCCAUCAUUAAGUUGGGCACUCUAAGUUGACUGCCGGUGACAAACCGGAGGAAGGUGGGGAUGACGUCAAAUCAUCAUGCCCCUUAUGAUUUGGGCUACACACGUGCUACAAUGGACAAUACAAAGGGCAGCGAAACCGCGAGGUCAAGCAAAUCCCAUAAAGUUGUUCUCAGUUCGGAUUGUAGUCUGCAACUCGACUACAUGAAGCUGGAAUCGCUAGUAAUCGUAGAUCAGCAUGCUACGGUGAAUACGUUCCCGGGUCU